GACGAACGCUGGCGGCGUGCUUAACACAUGCAAGUCGAACGGUAAGGCCCUUCGGGUACGACGAGUGGCGAACGGGUGAGUAACACGUGGUGAUCUGCCCUGCACUUCGGGAUAAGCCUGGGAAACUGGGUCUAAUACCGGAUAGGACCAUGGACUUCACGGUUUGUGGUGGAAAGCUUUUGCGGUGUGGGAUGGGCCCGCGGCCUAUCAGCUUGUUGGUGGGGUAAUGGCCUACCAAGGCGACGACGGGUAGCCGGCCUGAGAGGGUGUCCGGCCACACUGGGACUGAGAUACGGCCCAGACUCCUACGGGAGGCAGCAGUGGGGAAUAUUGCACAAUGGGCGCAAGCCUGAUGCAGCGACGCCGCGUGAGGGAUGACGG
Molecule: ribosomal RNA, 381 nt
Filed under: uncultured bacterium
Lineage: Bacteria
Description: bacterial SSU rRNA
Rfam family: Bacterial small subunit ribosomal RNA
Source: RNAcentral